This 69-nucleotide transfer RNA is filed under the name Ovis aries (sheep). It matches the Rfam family "tRNA". Rfam says of the family: Transfer RNA (tRNA) molecules are approximately 80 nucleotides in length. Their secondary structure includes four short double-helical elements and three loops (D, anti-codon, and T loops). The record is from Rfam by way of RNAcentral. Lineage: Eukaryota; Metazoa; Chordata; Mammalia; Artiodactyla; Bovidae.
CCUGGUGGCUUAGACGGUAAAGCAUCUGCUUGCAGUGCGGGAGACCUGGGUUUGAUCCCUGGGCCAGGA